AGCUGAUCACUGGGCGUAAAGCGUGCGCAGGCGGUUUUGUAAGACAGUGGUGAAAUCCCCGGGCUCAACCUGGGAACUGCCAUUGUGACUGCAAGGCUAGAGUGCGGCAGAGGGGGAUGGAAUUCCGCGUGUAGCAGUGAAAUGCGUAGAUAUGCGGAGGAACACCGAUGGCGAAGGCAAUCCCCUGGGCCCGCACUGACGCUCAUGCACGAAAGCGUGGGGAGCAAACA
Molecule: ribosomal RNA, 230 nt
Filed under: uncultured Alicycliphilus sp.
Lineage: Bacteria; Pseudomonadati; Pseudomonadota; Betaproteobacteria; Burkholderiales; Comamonadaceae
Description: partial 16S ribosomal RNA
Rfam family: Bacterial small subunit ribosomal RNA
Source: RNAcentral